This 301-nucleotide ribosomal RNA is filed under the name uncultured bacterium. RNAcentral's name for it is "partial 16S ribosomal RNA". It matches the Rfam family "Bacterial small subunit ribosomal RNA", at positions 509 to 808 of the family's 1533-position model. The record is from RNAcentral.
CAGUCGCCGCGGUAAUACGUAUGUCACAAGCGUUAUCCGGAUUUAUUGGGCGUAAAGCGCGUCUAGGUGGUUAUGUAAGUCUGAUGUGAAAAUGCAGAGCUCAACUCUGUAUUGCGUUGGAAACUGUGUAACUAGAGUACUGGAGAGGUAAGCGGAACUACAAGUGUAGAGGUGAAAUUCGUAGAUAUUUGUAGGAAUGCCGAUGGGGAAGCCAGCUUACUGGACAGAUACUGACGCUGAAGCGCGAAAGCGUGGGUAGCAAACAGGAUUAGAUACCCCUGUAGUCCCUGUCUCUUAUACA